CGCCGGCGCAGGCGCGCGGCGGGCUGCGCGCGGCCCGGGGCGACGUGGACGCCGCGCACCACCUGCUGUGCGCGCGCCGGGACCAGCGCGACGAGGCGCGCCGCCAGCACGCCGAGGACAGGCAGGCGCGGCUGCUGGGCGUGUGCCUGGACGGGUCGGCCGUGAACGCGCGCCUGGUGGACGGGCUGGUGGCCAUGGGCUACGGCCGCCGCCUGGCCGUGCUGGCGCUGCGCAACGCCAACAACCACGUCUCCGACGCCGUGCGCCUCAUCCAGGACCAGCCCGACAUGUUGGUGGACAGCGAGCAAUCGUCAGAAGAAACAGAAACGCCCAGCUCCGACGACUCUGCCGUUGAACCGGACUCCAAAUUGCUUUCCGAGCUAGAAGCAAUGGGCUACGUGACGGAAG
Molecule: long non-coding RNA, 408 nt
Organism: Hyposmocoma kahamanoa
Lineage: Eukaryota; Metazoa; Arthropoda; Insecta; Lepidoptera; Cosmopterigidae
Exons: 4
Source: RefSeq, a predicted model, not a curated record